GACGAACGCUGGCGGCGUGCCUAAUACAUGCAAGUUGAGCGCUGAAGGUUGGUACUUGUACCAACUGGAUGAGCAGCGAACGGGUGAGUAACGCGUGGGGAAUCUGCCUUUGAGCGGGGGACAACAUUUGGAAACGAAUGCUAAUACCGCAUAAAAACUUUAAACACAAGUUUUAAGUUUGAAAGAUGCAAUUGCAUCACUCAAAGAUGAUCCCGCGUUGUAUUAGCUAGUUGGUGAGGUAAAGGCUCACCAAGGCGAUGAUACAUAGCCGACCUGAGAGGGUGAUCGGCCACAUUGGGACUGGGACACGGCCCAAACUCCUACGGGAGGCAGCAGGAGGGAAUCUUCGGCAAUGGACGAAAGUCUGACCGAGCAACGCCGCGUGAGUGAAGAAGGUUUUCGGAUCGUAAAACUCUGUUGGUAGAGAAGAACGUUGGUGAGAGUGGAAAGCUCAUCAAGUGACGGUAACUACCCAGAAAGGGACGGCUAACUACGUG
Molecule: ribosomal RNA, 497 nt
Filed under: uncultured bacterium
Lineage: Bacteria
Description: partial 16S ribosomal RNA
Rfam family: Bacterial small subunit ribosomal RNA
Source: RNAcentral